This 440-nucleotide ribosomal RNA is filed under the name uncultured bacterium. RNAcentral describes it as "bacterial SSU rRNA". It matches the Rfam family "Bacterial small subunit ribosomal RNA", at positions 958 to 1399 of the family's 1533-position model. The record is from RNAcentral.
AACGCGAAGAACCUUACCUACCCUUGACAUCCAAAGAAGAUUGCAGAGAUGCGAUUGUGCCGAAAGGAACUUUGAGACAGGUGCUGCAUGGCUGUCGUCAGCUCGUGUUGUGAGAUGUUGGGUUAAGUCCCGUAACGAGCGCAACCCUUAUCCUUAGUUGCCAGCAUUAAGUUGGGGACUCUAAGGAGACUGCCGGUGAUGAACCGGAGGAAGGCGGGGACGACGUCAAGUCAUCAUGGCCUUUAUGGGUAGGGCUACACACGUGCUACAAUGGACAGUACAAAGGGUUGCCAAACUGUGAAGUGGAGCCAAUCCCAGAAAGCUGUUCGUAGUCCAGAUUGAAGUCUGCAACUCGACUUCAUGAAGUCGGAAUCGCUAGUAAUCGCGAAUCAGAAUGUCGCGGUGAAUACGUUCCCGGGCCUUGUACACACCGACUGUAC